RNAcentral lists this ribosomal RNA (253 nucleotides) under uncultured bacterium. RNAcentral's name for it is "partial 16S ribosomal RNA". It matches the Rfam family "Bacterial small subunit ribosomal RNA", at positions 524 to 776 of the family's 1533-position model. The record is from RNAcentral.
UACGUAGGCAGCGAGCGUUGUUCGGAGUUACUGGGCGUAAAGAGUGCGUAGGCGGUUUUUUAAGUUUGGUGUGAAAUCUCCCGGCUUAACUGGGAGGGUGCGCCGAAGACUGGAAGGCUUGAGUAUGGGAGAGGUAAGCGGAAUUCCUGGUGUAGCGGUGAAAUGCUUAGAUAUCGUCAAGAACACCGAUAGCGAAGGCAGCUUACUAAGCUCUAACUGACACUGAUGCACGAAAGUGUGGGGAGCAAACAGG